AAAAACCGCAUAAAAAGCCUUGAGAAAGAGUUCACCAAAGGUAGCUGCAAAUAAUUAAGGAUGUCUCUCUGUGAUGGUAAAACGUCGUGGCCGGAGCUGGUCGGAAAACAUGGAAAGGCGGCGGAGGAGGCGAUUGAGAGAGAGGUGGCUUGGGUAAAUGCUAAGGUUGUUCAAGAAGGAACCACUUUGGUGACUGCUGAUUAUAGAUGUGAUAGGGUUUGGGUUUGGGUCAAUAAACAUGGCUUCGUUACUAGAAUUCCCAUCAUCGGUUGAUAAAUUACCUUCUUCAAUGUCAUCAAACUCCCUCUUUCUCUCCAUCUCCAUCUCUCUUCUUAGUUUAUUACUCUACUCGAUGUGAAAUUAUAGGUAACGAAAGUAUGUGAUUCUAAAUCUUAUCAAACAUGACGGUCUGAUUCUCAGGGAUCUUUUGUUUACUUUAAAAGAUGGCUAAAGUCCAUCAAUUU
Cucurbita moschata (crookneck pumpkin) is the source of this 464-nucleotide long non-coding RNA. RefSeq lists it as uncharacterized. NCBI's taxonomy places the organism in Eukaryota, Viridiplantae, Streptophyta, Magnoliopsida, Cucurbitales, Cucurbitaceae. The record is from RefSeq and is a predicted model, not a curated record. The transcript has 2 exons.